Molecule: long non-coding RNA, 2405 nt
Organism: Peromyscus leucopus (white-footed mouse)
Lineage: Eukaryota; Metazoa; Chordata; Mammalia; Rodentia; Cricetidae
Exons: 3
Source: RefSeq, a predicted model, not a curated record
GUUUUCCAAGACAAGGUUUCUCCAUGUAGCCCUGGAACUCAGAGAUCUGCCUGCCUCUGCCUCCUGGGGUCAAAGGUGUAAGCCACCAACCACCUGGUUCCAGGUUUCUCUCUUAUCAUGAGCCUACCAAGACUACACAGGGAUAACAGUUAUCUACUUCACAGCAAAGAAUCAAAAUCAUUUGCUUUCAUGAAUGGGAGACAAAGUGUUGGAAAGCAGCCAGGAUGUUGGAACUGCGCAAGUUGUUGAGAGAUGGGCUUCUGGAAGAUCCAUUAGCACAAUGCUUUGGAACCUGGCUUGGAAAAUUUGACAUGUCAGUUUCGUCUGCUGAGAAACUUACAAACAUCCUCACAAGGACUCUCUCCAGCUUCUCUCCCUUCAAUGCUAGCUGGCCAUCUGAGAUUUUAAUGCAGAGCCAGGGUAGGAUGGCUCAGGGUUCUGGGAGGGUGUCCAGGGAAGAUGGGAAGCUUGGGAUAGGAACCAUCAGUCCUCAGGAAGCUCUUUUUUUUAAAAUUACUUUAAGUUUAUCUUAUGUGAGUUGGUGUGGAAGUGUCAUAUCCCCUGGAAUUUGAGUUACAGCUGCCAUGUGCGUGCUAGGAAUUGAACCCAGGUCCUCUGGAUGAGCAGCCAGUGCUCCUAACCUCUGAGCCAUCUCUCCAGCCCCCUUCAGGAAGCUCUUCAUUUUGCUUAUUGUGCAUCCAAGGCAAGCACCGAGUAAGCUACACCCACAGAUCCUUUCGUGUGUCCGUGUGUGUUUGCGCAGGUGUUGCUGUGUGUGCAGGUACGUGCGCCCUUCCUAUUCUUCCCAUGGCAGCUAAUCCCCGAGACACUCUGCUCUCCAACCAGCAUCGGUUGCAGGAGCCUUUCUAAUAAGUGGGCGGUGUGGGAGACUGUGAGGCUUUUUGACUGGUGGGGCCGUGACCUUUCCCUGGGAAUGUAAAGGAGAAGCACAGGCCACUUUGCAGGAACGGAAUCUGCCCUAGGGACCAGAGAGCUGACUCUCUUCCGGAUGGCUUAGAAUGUGCACCGCGCAGCGGUCAAAACCCCACACCAAAGCUCCGUCUAUCUUCCAGGGUGUCUCCCACUGCAGUAUCUCAGAGUAAAACCUUAGGUCGGCCUCAGCGCUCCAUACAGCAGGAGCUCUCUGGGGGAAAUGCUCGAGGAUCCCUUUACCCAGUUUCCAGCUGUGUGAGCUCCCUCCAGCUGUGCCGGGCUCCAGUUUGCACCUCGGAGCCAGGUAGCCCUGGAGUUCACUGUCUCUCCUUUUAUUUGGGUCUCCAGCUGUCUGUCAUGUGAGAGGCCUUAUGAAUGCCCGGGGCUCCCCAGGGGUUGGAGAGGGCAGAGCUGAGGGAUGACCUAAGGUGGGAAAGAGAGGCAGAUCUGUAAAUAAACAAGGGCAGAGUUGGGCGACCCAGGGGCCUCUGCGGCUUCUGCUGAGGGGAGCUCCUGAGGCCCCUCUGAAGCAGCCAGGGGGAGGCGGUUAUUGUUUUUGGAUUUCGCUGAGAUGAACUCCAGAUGAUUUUCCAAGGGCUGAUUUCACAGCACAUUUGCUGCGUCUGAGCAAUCGCUCUGUGCAACAGUUGCGUUUCCAUUCGGCAUUUACCUCGUGUGCCCGGGAAUCAGGACUGUCUGCCUCCUUGGGGUCGAACCCUUUUAUUUUCUUUGGGGCUCGGCCAGAGCCUUUCUGUCAGCCCUGGUUUCAUCUAGACCUUUCCAUUUGUGUACAGGCAAGACGAGGCCAGGUUCACAGAGUGUUCCCGAGCUAGUGACUGCGGCCAGUCCUUGUUGAAUGUAAUCGGUACGGACAGCGGGGACACCAAACUCUUCAAUACAUUUCAGAGAGACAGAUAAUUCAGCUACGUACAAGGGAACAGAACAAAAGCCACAGUGAUCCCUAAUUUGAGACACACUGGUUGUUUCUGUCUGUUAUGGCAAGGGAGGACCCCCGAGAUGUGGGAGGAGUCGGGAGUUGUGGGGAAGGGAAAUGGGGUGCUACGUGAGCGCAGUUGAGCUGUUUUGGAGACAAGAGUAUUUAUGACAAAGGAUCAGUAGAGCUUGCCUUGAGAAGUCUUAUCAUUGUCAAAGGAGUAAUGCAGCUCUCCUGGCGGUGUUCAUUGUAUACAGUUCCUGCUGUGGAUACGGCUUGUGGUGGUUGGAAUAAGAAUGGCCCCCGUGGGCUCCUAUGUCUGAAUGCUUAGUCAUCUGGAAGUGUGGCCUUGUUGGAAGACGCGUGUCCCUAGUGAUGGGCUUUGAGGUUUCACAAAGUCCAUUCCAAGCCCAGGGUCUCUCUUCGUGCUGCCUGCCAAUCCGGAUAUGGAACUCACUGCCAGUUUCUCCUCCAGCACCAUGUCUGCCUGCAAGCCGCCAUGCUUCCCACCAUGACGAUAAUGGACUAAACUGCCCGG